AGCAAAGCAUGGAUAGGGAAGAGUACAUGAGCAAUCCGCUUGAAGAGAGGAAGUCCAAUUGCUGGGAGGACUUCUAAGCCGGAACCAUGGAAGGUCGCCCUUGAGCAUCGCCUGGGAACGGAAUGACUCUCAGUAACAGGCGACGGUGAAGAGCCGUUAUCCAGAUUUGAGCCAGCGACAGAUGUUUUUACCGUUGCUGGAAAAAAAGGUGGUACCGCGAACAUACUCCAUUCGUCCUUUUA
This 242-nucleotide non-coding RNA is filed under the name Mesobacillus subterraneus. Its description in RNAcentral is "Bacillus subterraneus T-box sequence". It matches the Rfam family "T-box leader". From Rfam's summary of the family: Uncharged tRNA acts as the effector for transcription antitermination of genes in the T-box leader family. T-boxes are found upstream of many aminoacyl-tRNA synthetase genes and some amino acid biosynthetic genes usually in Gram-positive bacteria. The record is from RNAcentral. Lineage: Bacteria; Bacillati; Bacillota; Bacilli; Caryophanales; Bacillaceae.